GGAGCAAGGCUCGCGUCUGAUUAGCUAGUUGGUAGGGUAAUGGCUUACCAAGGCGACGAUCAGUAGCUGGUCUGAGAGGAUGAUCAGCCACACUGGGACUGAGACACGGCCCAGACUCCUACGGGAGGCAGCAGUGGGGAAUCUUAGACAAUGGGCGCAAGCCUGAUCUAGCCAUGCCGCGUGUGUGAUGAAGGCCCUAGGGUCGUAAAGCUCUUUCGCCUGUGAUGAUAAUGACAG
Molecule: ribosomal RNA, 237 nt
Filed under: Fabrea salina
Lineage: Eukaryota; Ciliophora; Heterotrichea; Heterotrichida; Fabreidae
Description: partial Bacterial small subunit ribosomal RNA
Rfam family: Bacterial small subunit ribosomal RNA
Source: RNAcentral